GGGUGCUCCAAGGAGUCGGAGGAACGCGGCCGCGCGACGGGCCCCGGACGCCGAGGGUGGUGCUUCCUCCGAGCCUCCGGUGGUGAGGCCGCUCUCAGAAGGUCAUGGAAGCGCAGGGGAGAGCGAGGCGGCCGAGCCCAGGCAAAUCCUCGAGAAAGGCCGAGUGCGCGACGGCUCUGCGGGGAGGACCGCGCCUCCCCGAAUGCGGCCGCUGCUGCCGCUGCAAACAGUGCCUUGAGGAGAGGAAAGCGGGGAACCGUGUUUUCGCCGCCUCUGUAACCACUGCACACAAGAAAACCAGCUUCUGGGAGAGGGGGAUGAUUGUUGGGACUUUGCGAAUUACCUAAACAGCCCAGGGCCGAGGCGCCGCCGCUCGCGUCCUGGUCCUCCUGCCGGGUGUGGGGCUCCCCUGCCCGAGAUGGCCAGCGGGCGCGCCGAGAGUAUCCUGGAGCCAUCUAGUCUUGCCUCGGAGGCGGGGUGGGCUUAUUUGUGCGGAGAAGAAACGGAUCUCUUAAUGGGGUGAGAUUUUUCCUCCGUACAUUGUUCCCAUUUCCGCAGUUUCACUUGGCCUCGGUUUUCUAGCAGAGUAAUCACCAAAUGAAAUUAGCUGGAGAGCGUUUGAUGGCGCAGAAUCACGGUCUGAAGAUGUUUACGCUGUAUGCCGGACGCGUUUGAUGGUGUUCUCUUCGGCACAAUUAAUUUUGCAAAGUUCAGAAAUGUGCCAGACAGAGCCCCUGGCACGCAGUCAGGACUCUACAGACACACCUUGAGUAGGAAACAGGCUUGUUUGUUUCAUCUGUGAUUUAUGUGAUGCACCAGCACCAAGGCCAACGUGUUUUUUAAAGACCUUUCGAUGAAACUCCAAAGCAAUUUAUAAAUUGGCAAAAUGAAGCUUGUUUUGUAAAAUAACUCUUCCUUGUUGAUCAUGUAAUUAAAUGGGCAACAAAACACCUGAAAGGACAUUUACUGAAAAGUAGACUCCCAAAACAAAAAUAUGUAUUUCACAGCUAGAUACGGUCGCUAUUAGCGUCCUAAUGGCCAACUCCAUCCAUGUGCGUAUUUUGAACACUAAAAACGCCUCCUGUUACCCCUAAGACCUUGUUUGGAUAACAUUUUUCUAUUAUAAGUACUCGAAACCAACCCCAUUUAAGAUGUUUACCCUUAUUCUUGAGUCCUUGAUGGUUUGGGAAAUUUAUCAUUAUUCAUAUUGCACAAUCCUGUCACUGUCUUUUCCAUUAGGCACAGUGCCUAAGGUCCACAAUAUUUUUAGAGGCCCACAAAAAAUAUUUUAAUUUCUUUUCAAAUCAGAAGGAAAAAAAAUUUAGGUUUAAGAAAGUAUUUUAAUAUAUAUUAAUAUAUUUGUUUUUGUGCUAAUACAAUCUUAAAAUGUAUGUAUAUAUGUGUGUGUGUAUAUGUAUAUAUAUUUUAAUGGAGUAAGGGGCUCAACGAAGGCAAAAAGGCCUAGAGCCCAAGAAAAACAUGAUGUGGCCCUGUUGCCUGGGGUUGAAAAAUCCCAUUCCAUGAGAAGAAUUUAGUUUUAAGAAUAUUACAUAAAAUGCUCAUUUCUGUGGCCUUGCUAUAAUAGAAAGAUGGAGAUUCAGAGUAGUGAUAAUGGCUAACAUCCACCUGAUACACACCAUGUGUCCAUUACCUCUUAAUCCUCACAGCACACCUGUGAAAUAGGUACUAUUCUCACACUUAGGGGGUAAUGCAGGUUUUGUGGGGCCUGCAAUUUAUGCAAUUUGGGUGGUCCUCUUAAAGAAAAAGCAAAUACUGUGUAUUAGUCCGUUCUCACACUGCUAUAAAGAACUGCGCGAGACUGGGUAAUUUAUAAAGGAAAGAGGUUUAAUUGACUCACAGUUCCACAUGGCUGGGGAGACCUCAGGAAACUUAACAAUCGUGGUGGAAGGAGAAGCAAGUACCUUCUUCACAAGGAAGCGGAAAGAAUUGUGAGCGGAGGAACUUGCCAAACACAAAACCGUCAGAUCGCGUGAGAAUUCAGUUACUAUCACGAGAACAACACGGGAAAACUGUCCCCAUAAUCAAGUCAUUUCUCUCCCUAACAAGUGAGGAUUACAAUUCAAGAUGAGGUUUGGGUAGGAACACAAAGCCUGACCCUAUCCCACAGCAUGUCCAGGCUGCCCUAGCACCACCCAAUAGAAGGGAAAAUGGCAGAGGGAAAGUCCUAGUGGAAAGAGACCUCAGUCUCAGCUAAUUGUGGUGACAAUAUAUUGCUUUUGCAAAUUGUACAUAAACAUAUGACCAGGUGAAUGUAUCGCCAAGGCUCCUGCCAAGGCCUGGGAUGGAGGCCUAGAGAAGAUGCCCGAAAGUUUAUGCUGUGUGAGCUUCACAGAAGACCUGCCUUCCAUGUAUACCCAUUUUACAGGUGUCUGUGCGGUGCAGAAACUGUACAACUGUAUACAGUGACCAUUUCUACUCUGGGUCUCUAAACAAGGGCUGGUAUCGUUACAGAGACUGAAGACUGAGGAAGACCAUCUCUGUAGGAUGCCAAGGAUUGACUGGAGAAAGUCUGGGGUCCCUCUACCUGGGAUGUGAUUCAGUACCCAAUGGUGGAGCGGUCGUUGAGGAAUGAAGACACAUACAAAGGGUAAAGGAGCAGAAUUUUCCACAAAUGAGUUCAUUUAUAAAGAGAAAGGCAAGCUUUGAUGACAACACCUUCACAAAAUGGAGGCCUUUGAAAACAUUGGUCUGGAUUGAGGAGUUGGAGAAGAAUGAAGUGCACAUCAACCAAACAGAAGAGAAGCAAUUUGGAGGAGGAAAAAAUCAGUUCUUCAUGAAAGGAUCACAUUGAUCUUGGUAAGUGUAAACUCUAGAUGCCCAUAUGGUUUGGCUGUGUCCCCACCCAAAUCUCAUCUUGAAUUGUAGUUCCCAUAAUCUCCAUGUGUUUUGGGAGGGGCCCCAUGGGAGGUAAUUGAAUCCUGGGGGCAGUUAUUCCCAUGCUGCUGUUAUCAUGAUAGUGAGUGAGUUAUCAUGAGAUCUGAUGGUUUUAUAAGGAGCUUUUCCCCACUUGCUUGGCACUUCUCCUUGCUGCUGUCAUGUGAAGAAGGACAUGUUUGCUUCUCCUUCUGCCAUGAUUGUAAGUUUCCUGAGGCCUCACCAUCCCUGCAGAACUGUGAGUCAAUUAAACCUCUUUCCUUUAUAAAUUACCCAGUCUAGGGUAUGUCCUUAUAGCAACGUAAGAACAGACUAAUACACCAUGUCAGUGAGCCCUCACCCUCUGAACAUACAAUCUACUAAUUCCUACUAAUUUCUUUUGCAGAGUCUCUCCAGCAAAAUAUCAAAUUUCCAUUGUACAAUUUCUUGUUUAAAGAGACUGUCAGUUGUUUAUGACUAUAUUCAGAAAUUUACAAAUAAAU
Molecule: long non-coding RNA, 3377 nt
Filed under: Homo sapiens (human)
Lineage: Eukaryota; Metazoa; Chordata; Mammalia; Primates; Hominidae
Description: LIFR antisense RNA 1
Source: RNAcentral